UGAGUUGAUUAGCUCUUUAAAGUACUUGGAUAAGAUGGACGCAGAGGGGAAUGAGAGGCCUGAGUCGGAUGAUGAGGAUGAGGACACCGAAGGGAAUCAGAGGCCUGAGUUGGAUGAUGAGGAUGAGGACGCUGAGGAGAAUGAAAGGCCUGAGUUGGAUGAUGAAGAUGAGGAUGAGGAUGAUGAUGACGAGGAUGAUGCUGGGAGCGGGGAAAUUGAAGGGGAGAAUUGGCCUUUUAGGGUGAGUAAUGGGCAUCCAAGUAGGAACGAGGGGGUUAUUGAUGUUGAUGAGGAUGAGGAGAGUGAUGCGGAUGAGGAGGUAACUGAGACUUCUAGAGGGAUUAACGGAUUAAUUGGUGCGGAUGAGGACACCGAAGGGAAUCAGAGGCCUGAGUUGGAUGAUGAGGAUGAGGACGCUGAGGAGAAUGAAAGGCCUGAGUUGGAUGAUGAAGAUGAGGAUGAGGAUGAUGAUGACGAGGAUGAUGCUGGGAGCGGGGAAAUUGAAGGGGAGAAUUGGCCUUUUAGGUUGAGUAAUGGGUAUCCAAGUAGGAACGAGGGGGUUAUUGAUGUUGAUGAGGAUGAGGAGAGUGAUGCGGAUGAGGAGGUAACUGAGACUUCUAGAGGGGUUAACGGAUUAAUUGGUGCUAGCAAUUCCCAUCAUCUUUCGAAUGGGUUUAGAGUGGAGGAUGAAGGUGAUAUGAGUGAGGAAGAUGAUGAUUCAGUGGAAGAGAUAUAUGAAGAAGGUGAGGGUGAGGGUGAGGAUGAGGAAGAUGAUGUGGUAGAGGUCCACGAGAUAGAUGACAGUAGUGACGAGGAGGAUGGGGUGGAGG
Molecule: long non-coding RNA, 830 nt
Filed under: Olea europaea (common olive)
Lineage: Eukaryota; Viridiplantae; Streptophyta; Magnoliopsida; Lamiales; Oleaceae
Description: long non-coding RNA (OEUR_LNC006916)
Source: RNAcentral